Struthio camelus australis is the source of this 5003-nucleotide non-coding RNA. Lineage: Eukaryota; Metazoa; Chordata; Aves; Struthioniformes; Struthionidae. The record is from RefSeq and is a predicted model, not a curated record.
AUCGAUGGUAUUACUCAAGAAUUUGCCAGUGGUGAGAACUUGGUAUUCUUUUUCCUUUUCUAGUUUAGAAGAUUUUGGGUUUAACCAUUACUGUAAUCCUGACUUUGGCUUUCAUUGAAACACCUUCCUCACUUACUGUCACAUCAGAUAUACGAUAUCGCCUUCCUGCAUGGGAUCCCCCAUGUGGCCUAACAGAAAGCAUUGAGCUGCUUUGCUUUCUUGUGUUCAUGAUUGAUGUAUCGGUGAAGAGUUAUUUAAUUGGGUGGGAAGAAUUUCGGAAAACUAAAUGGCUGAUGGCUUAUAUCCUGACGUUAAUUGUUUCCCUUGCUGAUUGGAUUGUAUCGCUGAGCUUUUUCUGCACAGAGAAUGUGAGAAUAAGAAGAAUUCUUCGGCCUUUCUUUCUCCUUCAGAAUUCUUCCAUGAUGAAGAAAACAUUAAAGAGUAUCAACAGCACUUUGCCUGAAAUGGCAAGUGUUGUUCUGCUACUAGCUGUUCAUCUGUCUCUCUUUACCAUGUUUGCCAUGCUGCUGUUUGCUCGAACAAAGGAUGGCCAGCAGGAUAAGGAAUGGGUGGGGUAUUUUCGGAAUUUGCCAGAUUCACUGACUUCACUGCUGGUGCUGCUAACUACUGCAAAUAAUCCUGAUGUGAUGAUUCCUGCAUAUUCUAAGAAUCGAGCCUAUUCAGUCUUCUUUAUACUCUUCACUGUAUUAGGCAACUUAUUCCUGAUGAACUUACUGACAGCAAUAAUAUAUAACCAGUUUCGAGGAUACCUUCUGAAAUCGGUUCAGUCCUCCCUCUUCAGGAGACGACUAGGAAUCCGGGCUGCCUUUGAAGUGCUUUCUCCCCUAAAAGAGACUCCUGCUAAUGCACAAGAGUUGUAUGUCAGUGUUGGGGACUUAUUUCAUGUGCUCCAGAAGGUGGAAAUGGAUUCUCGCUGCAAGCAAGCCAUCAUGAGAUCACUCAAAACAUGCUCCUGUGACCAGCUGUCAGCUGCCCAGUUUCAGAAGCUCUUUGAAGAACUAGACAAAGAUGCUAUUAAACAACAUCCUGCUAGUCCGGAGUACCAGUCACGUUUUAUGCGGAAAAUGCAGUUUGCCUUUGGCCAUCCUUAUUUUGGCUACUUGGGGAAUGUUGUAGCCCUUGCAAACAUUGUUUCUAUCUGUGUGGUUUUGGUGAUGGAUGCAGAUAAACAGCCUUCUGAAAGAGAUGACUUCUUCCUGGGGGCUAUCAACUGCUUCUUCAUCCUCUACUAUCUACUGGAAAUGUUGCUGAAAAUCUUGGCAAUGGGGUUAAAAAGAUACUUAUCUUACCCAAGCAAUCGAUUUGAUGGACUUCUGACUGGAAUUCUGCUGGUUUUGGAGAUAGCAACUUUUGCUGCAUACGGAUUUCCUCAUCCUGGCUGGAGACCUGAGUUGAUGGGUUUGCUUUCCCUGUGGGAUAUGGUUCGACUGGUGAACAUGUUAAUUGUGUUCAGGUUCCUGCGGAUUAUUCCUAAUAUGAAGUUCAUGGCUUUGGUUGUGACUACACUGUUGGAUCUGGUAAAAAACUUGAGAGCCUUUGCAGGAAUCCUGGUGGUGGUUUUCUAUGCAUUUGCUAUAACUGGCAUAAUACUAUUUAAAGGUGCUGUUGUUCCUAUGGGGAAUAUCAGUAUUGUCAAUACAACAUCUGUUAAUGGCACUCUGCAGUGUGGGACCUACGAGCAGCUGGAAUAUUGGCCAAACAACUUUGAUGACUUUGCUGCGGCAGUGGUGACCCUCUGGGAUGUGAUGGUCGUGAACAACUGGCAAGUCUUUCUGGAAGCGUUUUCAAGAUAUUCGAGUCCGUGGGCAAAGAUCUAUUUUGUAGCCUGGUGGUUGAUCUCCUCAGUCAUCUGGGUCAAUCUCUUCGUAGCUUUACUUCUAGAGAACUUUAUUCACAAGUGGGACCGUCGCUGUCAUCGGGAACCUCUCUCAGACAUUGAAUACCAGAGGACGGUUGAACUAAUGUUCAGAGAUGUUUUGGAAGAACCUACAGAGGAAGAGCUCAUGGAAAGACUACAUCAGCAUCCACACCUGCAUUUAUGUAGGUGACUGAUUGGUGGGAAGGACUGAUUUAUUUAGACCUCUAUUUUGUUGAGGUGGUCAGCUGGAAGAAACUGAAUGGAUUUUCUGUGACAUGCUGUAGUAAGGGUUUGCAGGACAAUGUGUAAAGUUUUGGUUGGCAAUUCUCUGCAGGAGGAGUUUUUUAUUAUUGGCUUAUAUAUUUUUUUUUUCUGGAGGAAAAAAAGGGUAUUUGAAUCCUACUUAUUUGACUUGAUUUUAAGUUGCAAUUUUACAGCAAUAUUGCAGCUGCUAUUUUUAUAAACUAUUGGUACCAGAAUAUUUUUAUUUUUGUUUUUUAAGAAGGGAAAGUGUUAAAAUGACAGUGCACUUUAAAACAUGAACUUUGUAACCACUAAGCCUGCUACUUUUUGCAGCACAAGAAAAUGGAACUGCCUCUUGUGAUAGGGGAGUGUGCCAAGGACUGUGCCUUGCAAUUCAUGAAUGGAUUAGGCAGGACUAGAACAAGAUCCUUAACCCUUUUUGUUGUAAUGACAGUUGAAACACUAUUUUUAUUAAAAAAAAUGGCGCCAGCAUAUUUUACUUACUAAAUUUUCAGAAGUUAAUCACUUGGGAGCACAAUUAGCUUCAACUCAUUGUUGAACUUAACAAGGAGUGUCUGUCUGGCACCCUCUCUCUCUCUCUCUCUCUCUCUCUCUCUCUCUCUCUGAUCUAGGGUUCUUGCUGGUUGCAUCACGCUGAUAACUUUGAGAACAGCUCUAAGUUUGAAUGAAAUGAUUAUACUCAUGGUUUUCAAUGUGGUAAAAUUGAACUCUGCUUCAGACUAAAUAUUCUCAUAUUGUCUUUUAGUGAACUCUUCCUUUUGCUUUCUUCCACAUCCUGUUAUUCACUGUACUGUAUUCCAUGAAGAAGCUGAAGGCAGUGAAUUUUGGCCAGAACGUAGCGUCAUGAUCACUGAGAGCCACCUUCUUAAAGGUGGUGGGGGGAAAGGUUGAACGGGUAAUCAAGUGCUUAGCAGCUCAGAUUUUCAUUUGAGUCCAUGGGGACUUGAAAGUGCUUAACCGGUGUUUCAAGAUCAUGUUCUUUUAUGGCUUUAUGGUCACAUGCUGUAUGUAUACUACUAAAUUUGGUGACCUGGCUAUUAUUAGCCAGGUAGAUAACUGACAGCAAAUCUAGAGUCGAGAAUUAACAGUAAGUUAUAACUGCAUGCUUUCCAUUUAUCUCUGAGUAUUCCACCAGAAAAGGUGUUUCUGUUUGGGUCUUUGUCACAUAAUGAGAAACUCACUAUGAAGAGUAGAAUUAAUCCCAACUAUUAUUUUUAUGCAAAAAAUGAAAUUACCUUUUGUGGUUGUGAUUAUCAUUACUUGAGGCACUUGCAACUAAAAUAGACUUUAUUUGGGCCACAUCUACAUUGACAAUGGCUUGGGGUGUGUGUGAAUGGACUUGAAUUGCUUCUAUUUAUAAGUUAUUCGAUCUGUUUAGAUAAAAAUCUUUUUGGAAAGCAUACCAGGCAGUCACCCCGUUUACUUUUCCAGUUGCUCAUCCAUCUUUUCUUUCUUUCCUGCUUUAAAGAGAGGAAAUUCUCCAUUUGAGCUCAGCAGCAUAUUUCUGCAUUGUUGCCUUACUGUUGUUUAGAAGUUAUGUGGUGAUUCUUGUCUGUUCCUUUACUUACUGCUUAUUCUUCUUGUGCUAUAGAACAAAAUACAAGUGAAGGAAUUUGCAUAUGCGUAGAACAUGAAAUGAAUUGAGCUAUGAGCCUUUCCAACAAUGUCUCUUUAUUUCUGUGCUCUUGCUUCUUAAGCCAUGUUGUGUUAUGUGUGUACUCUAUUGUAUCUGUUCCACAAUAAUCCACCUAGUAACUCACUUGCACUGCUUUCAGUGGUGUUACGAUUUUUGGGGAUCAUGGACUUAGAACACCCAUCUUAGCAAGUAGAUAAAGGCAUCAGCAUAGUGUUUUCCUAGAUUUUGGUUUGUUUCUUUCAGUAUAGUUUUGUCGGGAUGGUUUCUGCUCCUAGCAUGACUUAAUUGAUACUACUAGUUUAUUGGCGUUUAGUAAUGGAGGUUAAAUACUGUAUUUUACCUUCUUGCUCAGAAUUUCUUAUUUGCUUUGUUUUUCUGCCUUUGUGAAUUCUUGGAAAAGUAGCUGUAUUUGCCUUGCUAAACAGAAGUGGCCCGUUCCUAUCUGCCUGCAGGUUUCACCUUUUUUAGUUCUUAACCUUUUCUUUGGCCAUUACAUUCCACUACAAUCUGCCAAAGCAACAUGAAUUGGUGUGGCAUUAUCAUAAACCUCAUAAAUGUCUCCAGUAUGUGGUCUUUGCAUCUGGGCAAAUAUGAAGGGAAUGCUUUUAGUCUUGUUCUUGUAUGUUUCACAUUUGUAUAAUAGACUGAAAAUGUAACUAGAAGUUGAUGCAAAAAAUGCAGUAUCUAGUGUUAAUUAUACUGUAAGAUAUAAAUGACCACAUGAUACAAGUCUUAUGCAAUAAUUGUAUAAAUCAUGAAAAUGAAUGUAUGUAACUGCAUAAAGUUUGAGAUUUAUGUAAUUUCUUUUUAAAAAAAAUUCCUUCCUAAAAUACUGAAAUCAUUGAGUUGAAAAGAUUCUUGUGGUGUAUUUUUGUUUCCUUCGCCCAGGUACUGAUUUCUCUUGUGCUCAGUAUCCAUGCUCCUGUUAUCUUUACUAGCUGGAGGCUCACAAAAGAGGUUACAUGCAGAAUCAUUCUCUGUAUUUGGGGAGCUACUAUUUUCACAGCCAUAAAAUGAGAGAAAAUGUUCAUGGAAAAGCCUCAAGACUGAGAUGACAUUCCUUAAAUAGUACGUGCAUAGCAAUGUGUACAGCAAACUGCUGAAGUGGCCACCUAUAAUUAUCUCCCAUAAAGGAUAUGAGAAGAAUUUCAAGACUGUGUAUAAAAUGCAAUCACAAGGCUUAGUAAGUAUACGUGGGGUUCUAAAAGUGUCUUAGUGGACUAA